This 530-nucleotide ribosomal RNA is filed under the name Colletotrichum kahawae. RNAcentral's name for it is "SSU rRNA". It matches the Rfam family "Bacterial small subunit ribosomal RNA", at positions 378 to 960 of the family's 1533-position model. Lineage: Eukaryota; Fungi; Ascomycota; Sordariomycetes; Glomerellales; Glomerellaceae. The record is from RNAcentral.
AAGGGCUGAACUGGCAAUUUGGGUAAACGAAACAGAAUUGUAACUUACUAAAAUAAAGUUUUAAGUACGUAUUAAUAAUGAUAAUAUGUAUAAAAGUCUUGACCAAUUACGUGCCAGCAGUCGCGGUAAUACGUAGGAGACGAGCAUUAUUCAUAUUAAAUAGGUUUAAAGGGUACCCAAACGGUCAAAAUACCUGAAAUAUAGGAGUACUUGACUAGAGUUAUAUGUAAGAAGACCGUACUUGAGGUGGAGAGAUUAUAUUCUGUGAUACCAAAAGGACUGAUAAAGGCGAAGGCUGUCUUUUAUGUAAUAACUGACGUUGGAGGACGAAGGCAUAGAGAACUAACAGGAUUCGUUACCCUAGUAGUCUUUGCAGACAAUGAUGAAUGCCAUUAACUAGAUACUAAUUUUAGUUAUAUAAAUGAAAAUGAAAGCAUUUCACCUCAAGAGUAAUGUGGCAACGCAGGAACUGAAAUCACUAGACCGUUUCUGACACCAGUAGUGAAGUAUGUUAUUUAAUUCGAUGAUCC